GACGAACGCUGGCGGCGUGCUUAACACAUGCAAGUCGAACGGAAAGGCCUCUUUCGGGGGGUACUCGAGUGGCGAACGGGUGAGUAACACGUGAGUAACCUGCCCUUGACUUUGGGAUAACUUCAGGAAACUGGGGCUAAUACCGGAUAGGAGCUCCUGCUGCAUGGUGGGGGUUGGAAAGUUUCGGCGGUUGGGGAUGGACUCGCGGCUUAUCAGCUUGUUGGUGGGGCAGUGGCUUACCAAGGCUUUGACGGGUAGCCGGCCUGAGAGGGUGACCGGCCACAUUGGGACUGAGAUACGGCCCAGACUCCUACGGGAGGCAGCAGUGGGGAAUAUUGCACAAUGGGUGGAAGCCUGAUGCAGCAACGCCGUGUGCGGGAUGACGGCCUUCGGGUUGUAAACCGCUUUCGCUCAUGACGAAGCUUUGUGUGACGGUAGUGGGUAAAGAAGCACCGGCUAACUACGCG
RNAcentral lists this ribosomal RNA (467 nucleotides) under uncultured bacterium. RNAcentral describes it as "partial 16S ribosomal RNA". It matches the Rfam family "Bacterial small subunit ribosomal RNA", at positions 28 to 507 of the family's 1533-position model. The record is from RNAcentral.